Molecule: transfer RNA, 74 nt
Filed under: Candidatus Doudnaibacteriota bacterium
Lineage: Bacteria; Candidatus Doudnaibacteriota
Description: Candidatus Doudnabacteria bacterium tRNA-Pro
Rfam family: tRNA
About the family: Transfer RNA (tRNA) molecules are approximately 80 nucleotides in length. Their secondary structure includes four short double-helical elements and three loops (D, anti-codon, and T loops).
Source: RNAcentral
CAGGCUGUAGUUCAAUUGGCUAGAAUUUACGCAUGGGGUGCGUAAGAUUGUGGGUUCGAGUCCCACCAGCCUGA